This 497-nucleotide ribosomal RNA is filed under the name uncultured bacterium. RNAcentral describes it as "partial 16S ribosomal RNA". It matches the Rfam family "Bacterial small subunit ribosomal RNA", at positions 28 to 507 of the family's 1533-position model. The record is from RNAcentral.
GAUGAACGCUGGCGGCGUGCCUAAUACAUGCAAGUCGAGCGAACAGACGAGGAGCUUGCUCCUCUGACGUUAGCGGCGGACGGGUGAGUAACACGUGGAUAACCUACCUAUAAGACUGGGAUAACUUCGGGAAACCGGAGCUAAUACCGGAUAAUAUAUUGAACCGCAUGGUUCAAUAGUGAAAGACGGUUUUGCUGUCACUUAUAGAUGGAUCCGCGCCGCAUUAGCUAGUUGGUAAGGUAACGGCUUACCAAGGCGACGAUGCGUAGCCGACCUGAGAGGGGGGUCGGGAAAAGAGGAACUGAGACAGGGUAGAGAGUAGUAGGGGAGGCAGAAGUAGGGGAGCUGGAGAAAUGGGGGAAAGUAUGAAAGAGCAAGGCAGAGUGAGGGAUGAAGGUCUUAGGAUCGGAGAACGCGGUGAGUAUGGAAAAACAGAGGUGUAAGUAACUGUGCGCAUCUUGACGGUACCUAAGAAGAAAGCCACGGCUAACUCCGUG